UACGUAGGGCGCAAGCGUUGUCCGGAAUUAUUGGGCGUAAAGAGCUCGUAGGCGGUUUGUCGCGUCUGCUGUGAAAACCUCAGGCUCAACCUGGGGCUUGCAGUGGGUACGGGCAGACUAGAGUGCGGUAGGGGUGACUGGAAUUCCUGGUGUAGCGGUGGAAUGCGCAGAUAUCAGGAGGAACACCGAUGGCGAAGGCAGGUCACUGGGCCGCAACUGACGCUGAGGAGCGAAAGCAUGGGGAGCGAACCGG
Molecule: ribosomal RNA, 253 nt
Filed under: uncultured bacterium
Lineage: Bacteria
Description: partial 16S ribosomal RNA
Rfam family: Bacterial small subunit ribosomal RNA
Source: RNAcentral